This 442-nucleotide ribosomal RNA is filed under the name uncultured bacterium. RNAcentral describes it as "partial 16S ribosomal RNA". It matches the Rfam family "Bacterial small subunit ribosomal RNA", at positions 338 to 795 of the family's 1533-position model. The record is from RNAcentral.
CCUACGGGAGGCAGCAGUGGGGAAUAUUGGGCAAUGGGCGCAAGCCUGACCCAGCCACGCCGCGUGAAGGACGAAGGCUUUCGGGUUGUAAACUUCUUUUCUGGGGGACGAACAAAUGACGGUACCCCAGGAAUAAGCCACGGCUAACUACGUGCCAGCAGCCGCGGUAAUACGUAGGUGGCAAGCGUUAUCCGGACUUAUUGGGUUUAAAGGGCGUGUAGGCGGGAAUGCAAGUCAGAUGUGAAAACUCAGGGCUCAACCCUGAGCCUGCAUUUGAAACUGUGUGUCUUGAGUGCUGGAGAGGCAAGCGGAAUUCCGUGUGUAGCGGUGAAAUGCGUAGAUAUACGGAGGAACACCAGUGGCGAAGGCGGAUUGCUAGACAGUAACUGACACUGAGGCGCGAAAGCGUGGGGAGCAAACAGGAUUAGAUACCCUUGUAGUC